Molecule: long non-coding RNA, 499 nt
Filed under: Oryza brachyantha (malo sina)
Lineage: Eukaryota; Viridiplantae; Streptophyta; Magnoliopsida; Poales; Poaceae
Description: long non-coding RNA (OBRA_LNC001849)
Source: RNAcentral
UGGGUCAAUUUAUUGUAGAGCUCAGCAGGAUGUUUUUCUUAUUGGGAUAGCCGCACUAACCAGAAUACGCUACCAUACGACGUCCACUACACGGAGUUAGUUUGUAGCUAUAAGAACCCACAUCUACCUCCCCAAUAUACCAAUAUGGUGUUGAGUGCUUCUGAUGGUAACUUCGAGCACGCUUGCCAAGAAGCGGCUUAUCGGAUGAUGGCAAGUCUUUAGAGAAGACACCAUGUAGAUCUUCGCAUCACGGAGUACCGCUAUCAUCCUUGUCUAAACUUGCACACUAGUAUAGUACAUGACAUACAUAAAUAUUGCUAGAUGUCUAUCAUAUGAAUACAUCAUGUAUCUCUAGCUAACACAAAAACUUGUUAAGAUUAGUGCUAACACAUUGCCGGUUGUCUCGUCUCAUUACAACACAUGCACAUACCAAUUCAACAGUUAACUUGGCUUACUCCAAUAUCUAAUCUAUAUCUAAUCUAUGUAACAGUUUUAGGAA